RNAcentral lists this long non-coding RNA (637 nucleotides) under Fukomys damarensis (Damara mole-rat). RNAcentral describes it as "lncRNA (ENSFDAG00000029814.1)". The record is from RNAcentral. Lineage: Eukaryota; Metazoa; Chordata; Mammalia; Rodentia; Bathyergidae.
UUCUCUUUGUGGGAGGUUAUUACUAGUUUCUCCUCGUGGAAAUGCUUGUUGGCUAUAUUCAUAGCAAUCCUGCUUACCUUAUUAUUUGGCCCAUGUAUUCUUAACUAUUUCUUUGGCUUUGUCUCCUCUAGACUCAAAGAUAUAAGCCUACCCAAGAUGACAAUCCUGGCCCUAUCACUGGCCUUUAGAUAGACACUUUGUAGAAUAACUCUGAUGCUGAUCACAUCGCGAAUACAACCCUCUUCAGCUGGAAGUAUCCAGAACAUCUUCACCCUUUGCACCCUAGAGGUACCCUGAGUUGGAUCACUGCCCAACCAGAAGAGGAACCCCCCGCAAGCAGACCCGCUACCCAUAUCCAUAGGAGCACAGUGAUAACAAGAAGCCAGCAGCUGACCCACUUAGCUUAAGAAAGCUGAUUCUAUGAAAAACCAUAAGAGACCUGCUAUACCUGUCACAACCCUGUUGCUCCUAACACCUCCUUGUUUAUCAGUCAGGCCCAGGCCCAUCAUCAUGGGACUCUAAAAUUUUCCCCCUCUUGACAAGUGCCCCCUCUCCUACUUAAACUCCCCCAUAUCAACUGCAUGUACCCUCCUCUCAGUGUCAACAGCCUUUUUGCCCUUUGCCCACUUACACCCAG